Molecule: ribosomal RNA, 301 nt
Filed under: uncultured bacterium
Lineage: Bacteria
Description: partial 16S ribosomal RNA
Rfam family: Bacterial small subunit ribosomal RNA
Source: RNAcentral
CAGUAGCCGCGGGAAUACGUAGGGUGCAAGCGUUAAUCGGAAUUAAUGGGCGUAAAGCGUGCGCAGGCGGUUAUAUAAGACAGAUGUGAAAUCCCCGGGCUCAACCUGGGAACUGCAUUUGUGACUGUAUAGCUAGAGUACGGCAGAGGGGGAUGGAAUUCCGCGUGUAGCAGUGAAAUGCGUAGAUAUGCGGAGGAACACCGAUGGCGAAGGCAAUCCCCUGGGCCUGUACUGACGCUCAUGCACGAAAGCGUGGGGAGCAAACAGGAUUAGAUACCCCUGUAGUCCCUGUCUCUUAUAC